CCUACGGGAGGCAGCAGUGAGGAAUAUUGGACAAUGGGCGCAAGCCUGAUCCAGCCAUGCCGCGUGCAGGAUGACGGUCCUAUGGAUUGUAAACUGCUUUUGCACAGGAAGAAACAACUCUACGUGUAGAGUCUUGACGGUACUGUGAGAAUAAGGAUCGGCUAACUCCGUGCCAGCAGCCGCGGUAAUACGGAGGAUCCAAGCGUUAUCCGGAAUCAUUGGGUUUAAAGGGUCCGUAGGCGGUUUAGUAAGUCAGUGGUGAAAGCCCAUCGCUCAACGGUGGAACGGCCAUUGAUACUGCUAGACUUGAAUUAUUAGGAAGUAACUAGAAUAUGUAGUGUAGCGGUGAAAUGCUUAGAGAUUACAUGGAAUACCAAUUGCGAAGGCAGGUUACUACUAAUGGAUUGACGCUGAUGGACGAAAGCGUGGGUAGCGAACAGGAUUAGAUACCCUGGUAGUCCACGCCGUAAACGAUGGCUACUAGCUGUUGGGCGCAAGUUCAGUGGCUAAGCGAAAGUGAUAAGUAUCCCACCUGGGGAGUACGUUCGCAGAUGAAACUCAAAGGAAUUGACGGCNGAGAGNGCGAGAGACGACGAGGGAGAGG
Molecule: ribosomal RNA, 604 nt
Filed under: uncultured bacterium
Lineage: Bacteria
Description: bacterial SSU rRNA
Rfam family: Bacterial small subunit ribosomal RNA
Source: RNAcentral